Molecule: ribosomal RNA, 494 nt
Filed under: Salmonella enterica subsp. enterica serovar Infantis
Lineage: Bacteria; Pseudomonadati; Pseudomonadota; Gammaproteobacteria; Enterobacterales; Enterobacteriaceae
Also listed under: 13 other names
Description: partial 23S ribosomal RNA
Rfam family: Bacterial large subunit ribosomal RNA
Source: RNAcentral
AGACCCGAAACCCGGUGAUCUAGCCAUGGGCAGGUUGAAGGUUGGGUAACACUAACUGGAGGACCGAACCGACUAAUGUUGAAAAAUUAGCGGAUGACCUGUGGCUGGGGGUGAAAGGCCAAUCAAACCGGGAGAUAGCUGGUUCUCCCCGAAAGCUAUUUAGGUAGCGCCUCGUGAAUUCAUCUCCGGGGGUAGAGCACUGUUUCGGCUAGGGGGCCAUCCCGGCUUACCAACCCGAUGCAAACUGCGAAUACCGGAGAAUGUUAUCACGGGAGACACACGGCGGGUGCUAACGUCCGUCGUGAAGAGGGAAACAACCCAGACCGCCAGCUAAGGUCCCAAAGUCAUGGUUAAGUGGGAAACGAUGUGGGAAGGCCCAGACAGCCAGGAUGUUGGCUUAGAAGCAGCCAUCAUUUAAAGAAAGCGUAAUAGCUCACUGGUCGAGUCGGCCUGCGCGGAAGAUGUAACGGGGCUAAACCAUGCACCGAAGCUGC